Molecule: long non-coding RNA, 2073 nt
Organism: Loxodonta africana (African savanna elephant)
Lineage: Eukaryota; Metazoa; Chordata; Mammalia; Proboscidea; Elephantidae
Exons: 4
Source: RefSeq, a predicted model, not a curated record
GGCUGAGUGCCAUCCUGUGUUUCCUAGCAGGAGAAGCAUUCCUGGAGAGAGGCGGAUUCCAUGUGUGCCGGCAAAGUGUGUGCUGAGAUGAUGAGUCGCUGGAGACCAGGGUGGACUCUUCAGACCCAGGAUAGGCCUCUGGCAGCAGGAGAAGCAUUCCUGGAGAGAGGCGGAUUCCAUGUGUGCCGGCAAAGUGUGUGCUGAGAUGAUGAGUCGCUGGAGACCAGGGUGGACUCUUCAGACCCAGGAUAGGCCUCUGGCAGCAGGAGAAGCAUUCCUGGAGAGGCGGAUUCCAUGUGUGCCGGCAAAGUGUGUGCUGAGAUGAUGAGUAGCUGGAGACCAGGGUGGACUCUUCAGACCCAGGAUAGGCCUCUGGCAGGAGAAGCAUUCCUGGAGAGAGGCGGAUUCCAUGUGUGCCGGCAAAGUGUGUGCUGAGAUGAUGAGUCGCUGGAGACCAGGGUGGACUCUUCAGACCCAGGAUAGGCCUCUGGCAGGUAUGUGUCAAUGUUUUCUGCCCAUGGCACUCAGCCGGGUAUUUGAAUACAAUGUUAUCAGCGGAAUUAGUAGUCUCCGGAGAGGCUGCCCCGUGUCAACAAGCUUCACCCGGCCAGGGUUCACCCGUGAUGUAGCUCCCCAAUCAAUCACUACUCCCUAGUCCUUCCAGAUAGACUACCAGAUCUUCUCUGCCCUUGGGCAACCAGUACAGCCAGAGGCCUUCCCCCUUUGCCCUUUCGUCUCUAGACACUCUGUCAGGCACUCCAAGCUGUGAAGUGCCUGGGGGGGAGAAGGAAGAGAUUUCAGAGAAUGAACACAUACAGAGAGAGAGAGAGAGAGAGAGAGAGGCAGGAGAUGCUGAGUGGGGAUGUCUUGCGUACUGAUAUCCUGAGGAAAGUGGGAAAAUUGGACCCUGGCCUGCUGUGCCAAUGCCCUGAAGCAGUCUGCACCAGGGGCUCCCUUGUGCCUGCGUAGCCUUUCCCAGGGUGUGCUCAAAUCCUGUGGCCACUAGGUGUCCUGGGUCACAAUGGAGGGCCCUGUGUCAUCUGCCUGGCGGGCUGGAUCUCUGCCAUUGGCUGAGUCUUGUCACCAGGCCCAUCAUAAGCUGCGCCUACUCUUCCGGUGGGGAGACUGUCUCCAUGGUGAUGGCAAAGAAGCCUUAGUCCCGCCCACCGGGCCUUCACUUCACCUACCCGGCCUGCUGACCCUCACUCAGACCUCUGUGUUGAUCAAAAUGAAUGUCCGCCAGUGGCCAGGUGUCAGCAUCUGGGAUAAAGGAUUCGGGACCUUGCCUGAGGCAGAAGGCAGCCUAGGUCUGCGGGUCCCUGGAAGUCUAGUGAGUUGUGACGCUGCUGCCAGUGACAAAUGGUGACUCCCACACUCACAUAUCCCCUGGUGGCAGAAUGAUAGCGAUGGGUGGAGAAACAUGGCUCCUGAGCACACGUUGAAUGGGGCACCGGCCAAAGGCCAGGGCCAGGAGUGGACGUCGUGGAGCUGAAUGGCGAGCCAGUGAAGGGCCCAAGGAUUUCUCCUGUAUGUGGCAAACAGGUCAUCCGUGUCCCCACGUCCAUAAACCAUUGGACUGCCGGGGCCCAGGCUGCCAGGAUUUCGGCCUUGCCUUCGGAGCCCGGCCACAUACGCAGCCUUGCACCGGAGGCGGGGACAUGUAGACAGGAAAAAUUUGGAAAAUGGCAGUGUCUCCUCGAUUUCCCCGGCAUCGGCCUAUUUGAGCAGCAUGCUUUGUUUCCUAGUAGGAUAAGGCACUGACGGAGAAAGGCAGGAUUAUGUGUGCAGGAAAGGUGUGUGCUGAGAGGGUGACGACGUUGAGACCAGGUUGGGAUCUUUAGUCCCAGGAAAGGCCCCUGGCAGGUGUGGGUGAAUGUUCUCUGCCCAUCCGAGUUGGCGGGGGGAGGUUUUCAGCAAACAAAGCAGCAGCGGGAUUAUUCGUCGCCGGAGAGGUUGCAUCUGCCCACAAGCUCCACCUGGCCAGGGACCGCCCCUACUGUAUUGCCCAUGUCAAUCAACAGAAGCUAAGACCUUCCAGAGAGACUACCUGCUAUCGUCUACCCACGGGGAAGC